CUUCCCUAGCCCCAACUGAUCUACCAUCUCCGUGGACGCUAUCUUAUCCAAACUCCCAGCAUCAAUGAUUAUCUUUGCACUGGCCAAUUCCGACAUAGAUUUUGAAUACAGCCUUCCGUCUUCUCCUCCUUUCUGCUGACGUUGCCACACAAUCUAACGACAGCGAAACUGUCUCCUCUCCUAAGCUUGAGAACCCCCGCUAUGUUUCCGACUUGAACUUACCUUUAGAGCUUCCCGGGCUCUAGGCUCGACAACGUUCACUCUUCCAUCUUCA
This 274-nucleotide long non-coding RNA is filed under the name Nicotiana benthamiana. Its description in RNAcentral is "long non-coding RNA (NBEN_LNC008274)". Lineage: Eukaryota; Viridiplantae; Streptophyta; Magnoliopsida; Solanales; Solanaceae. The record is from RNAcentral.